This is a long non-coding RNA of Dermacentor silvarum, 1582 nucleotides long. RefSeq lists it as uncharacterized. NCBI's taxonomy places the organism in Eukaryota, Metazoa, Arthropoda, Arachnida, Ixodida, Ixodidae. The transcript is spliced from 4 exons. The record is from RefSeq and is a predicted model, not a curated record.
UGAAACAGUUACAACGCACACGAAAACAUCGAACACUGCACAUCUGUACCUCCGAUAUCGUGUCAACAAUUCCUGAGGCAACAAUUCAUGUUCACGACAUCAGAAAGUUAUCUAAAACUAAGUGACGGCGUAGGAAAAGUAGGCAGCAUCGCUAAACGUCAUGGAUUGGCUUCGAGACAGCUUCGAGACAGCCCAAACCGUUCAAAUCAGGCCACAGCGACGGCUUGAUAAGGAUAACCGAAGCUGAUCUCGAAGGCCAUGCUUAUGCUGUCUGCAGAUGGCGGAAGCAAUUCAAAGGUAAAAUACGUUUUAGAAUUUCUUUCUACGCCAAACUAUAGUGUAAAAUAUAGAUUGUUCUACAGUUAUUUUGUCUCGCAACAUCUAUACGUAGUUGUGUGUAACCCGGCACAAAAUUUUAGUAUGCGAGUGUACUGGUUAAUAUUUUUGUCAUCACAGAGGCCACAACAUUCUCACAAGUAUGCAGGUGGCGCUAUUGUUUUUCCUCCGUGUUCUGUGAUGGCGGUCGUAUGUGCGGGGUGCUACGAGCGUCGCGUUUGCUUGAUCGUGUGUUUUUGUGUUUGCUGUUAUGAAGUAGGUCGCAGUUAGCGUGCACAGAAGUGCCUGAAGAUACCUUGUGUCACGCUGCAAACUCGCCGUAUGCGUGGCGCGCCAGGCAAAUGUGGCCCAACGAUUUUAUGCCGUGGAGUGCGGUUUCUUUGUUCUCGUUCUGGAAAGUUGGGUGGACGUCGCAAAGAAUGUGUGUUAGCGCGCCUCAGCUCGUCCACUACGCAGCGGCAUGUAUGCGGGGAGUAACAUCGUCGACGCAGCACCGGCAACUUGGAGAGUGCUUCGCGACCGCGUCGUACCAUUCAAAAGUGGCGAGGCUGUGACCCAUAACAGUGCCUACAUAACGGAGGAGCCACCAGACCCCUUGGCUAUGCCUGCCGUAGUGCAACGUAUAAUCUGGAUGGUCGGGUCAGGUACACCUAGGAAAUGUUGUAUACAUUGGCAACGAUAACUGGGGCCUGCUCCAGUGCCAUCGCCGGGAUUCCCUGUUCUGCAAAAAGCUGACAUAACUGAUGUGGGGAGCCCUGGCGCUCGGUGUAGGAGUAUCACAGGGGCUCCUUGUCGGUGCUUGAAGGACGGCAAUGCUGUUGAGAAGCCGACAUUGAGCCCCGAUAAAUUGGAAGCUGUGGGUAGUUACCGCAUUAUUGACUUGGAAACCAGUGAGGUCUGGAUGCAAGUGAAGCUACCGAGGGAGGCAUGUGUGCAUCACUUGUGCUGCUGGCCAUCCUCUGCAAAAGUGAUGGCUGGCAGUCAGUGCUUGGAUGACUUUCUGUUACUCUACGCCUUGGGCUGUGUUGACUACUUCACACUUGCUGCCAUGUCUGCAAGCUUAGGCAAAAAGACCGGCUGGAUGCUUGGCAGGAGAUAGUAUCCAACCGCAGUGUUACUGUGUUGUGUUGUACAUUACAAAGUGAUGGAGGACAGUAUUUGUGCUGUUAUUAAGAAGUAUAAAUUGUGUUCUGCCAUUGAAAUAAGGGAACUCGACACAAAGCAAAAGAUUUCGAAGUCUGACCUA